ACGGGGCCCGCACAAGCAGCGGAGCGUGUGGUUUAAUUCGAUGCAACGCGAAGAACCUUACCAAGGCUUGACAUGCCAGAAGUAGGAACUCGAAAGAGAGACCACCUGUAUCCAGUCAGGAACUGGCACAGGUGCUGCAUGGCUGUCGUCAGCUCGUGCCGUGAGGUGUUAGGUUAAGUCCUGCAACGAGCGCAACCCUCGUCGCUAGUUAAAUUUUUCUAGCGAUACUGCCCGUAAAACGAGGAGGAAGGUGGGGAUGACGUCAAGUCAGCAUGGCCCUUACGCCUUGGGCUGCACACACGCUACAAUGGGUGAUACAACGGGUUGCGAGAGAGCGAUCUGGAGCUAAUCCCUAAAAUCAUCCUCAGUUCGGAUUGCAGGCUGAAACUGCCUGCAUGAAGUUGGAGUUGCUAGUAACCGCAGGUCAGCACACUGCGGUGAAUACGUUCUCGGGCCUU
This 458-nucleotide ribosomal RNA is filed under the name uncultured Chloroflexota bacterium. RNAcentral's name for it is "bacterial SSU rRNA". It matches the Rfam family "Bacterial small subunit ribosomal RNA", at positions 916 to 1381 of the family's 1533-position model. The record is from RNAcentral. Lineage: Bacteria; Bacillati; Chloroflexota.